UCCUCGUUAGUAUAGCGGUCAGUACACCUGCUUGACGCGCGGGAGACCGGGGUUCGAUUCCCCGACGGGGAG
RNAcentral lists this transfer RNA (72 nucleotides) under Rhipicephalus sanguineus (brown dog tick). RNAcentral's name for it is "transfer RNA valine (anticodon GAC)". It matches the Rfam family "tRNA". From Rfam's summary of the family: Transfer RNA (tRNA) molecules are approximately 80 nucleotides in length. Their secondary structure includes four short double-helical elements and three loops (D, anti-codon, and T loops). Further hydrogen bonds mediate the characteristic L-shaped molecular structure. tRNAs have two regions of fundamental functional importance: the anti-codon, which is responsible for specific mRNA codon recognition, and the 3' end, to which the tRNAs corresponding amino acid is attached (by aminoacyl-tRNA synthetases). tRNAs cope with the degeneracy of the genetic code in two manners: having more than one tRNA (with a specific anti-codon) for a particular amino acid; and 'wobble' base-pairing, i.e. permitting non-standard base-pairing at the 3rd anti-codon position. Lineage: Eukaryota; Metazoa; Arthropoda; Arachnida; Ixodida; Ixodidae. The record is from RNAcentral.